AUUGAACGCUGGCGGCAGGCCUAACACAUGCAAGUCGAGCGGAUGAGUGGAGCUUGCUCCCUGAUUCAGCGGCGGACGGGUGAGUAAUGCCUAGGAAUCUGCCUGGUAGUGGGGGACAACGUUUCGAAAGGAACGCUAAUACCGCAUACGUCCUACGGGAGAAAGUGGGGGAUCUUCGGACCUCACGCUAUCAGAUGAGCCUAGGUCGGAUUAGCUAGUUGGUGAGGUAAAGGCUCACCAAGGCGACGAUCCGUAACUGGUCUGAGAGGAUGAUCAGUCACACUGGAACUGAGACACGGUCCAGACUCCUACGGGAGGCAGCAGUGGGGAAUAUUGGACAAUGGGCGAAAGCCUGAUCCAGCCAUGCCGCGUGUGUCAAGAAGGUCUUCGGAUUGUAAAGCACUUUAAGUUGGGAGGAAGGGCAGUAAGUUAAUACCUUGCUGUUUUGACGUUACCAACAGAAUAAGCACCGGCUAACUUCGUG
RNAcentral lists this ribosomal RNA (484 nucleotides) under uncultured bacterium. RNAcentral describes it as "partial 16S ribosomal RNA". It matches the Rfam family "Bacterial small subunit ribosomal RNA", at positions 30 to 507 of the family's 1533-position model. The record is from RNAcentral.